Molecule: long non-coding RNA, 1672 nt
Organism: Frieseomelitta varia
Lineage: Eukaryota; Metazoa; Arthropoda; Insecta; Hymenoptera; Apidae
Exons: 2
Source: RefSeq, a predicted model, not a curated record
UCAUCAUCCAUAAAUACGUAUACGUACAAAAACACAGAAACGCAUACAACAAAAUGUUGCAAAUGUAUUCUAUCUCAUCUUAAAACCUGAUCGAACCAAUUAUAUUUGACGCCAGAAUGUUCACACAGUUGUCGGGUAAUUAUCGUUAUUUAAUUAGCUAGCCGUCAAUGUCUGAGCACUAAUCGCGAUCGAGCAAGUAAAUUUUGCAAAACGAUGUCCACUUUCGCAAUCGAUCGUUACAAACGGUGGUGAUCAAUUGGAACGAUAAUAAUCGGCUCGUAAAAAAGCGGUUGCCGCGAUUCGCUGAUGUUUGAUCUUUUUAUUAAGCGAAGUCGUUCUUCCGUCAUCGAGCGUGAUCGAAUUGCGUGAAGGAAAGAGAUUUUACGAUUUUUCACGAUUUAAUAGACGGAGUUGUUAAGCGACGGCGUUGCAAAAGCCAAUUAAUUCCAAGAACCUGCGAUCCGUGACAAAAUAUGCGAGCAUACGUAGUCACUUGCCUCGAAACGUGAUUCUUAAUCAUCGUGAAUCGACAGUUCAUGGAAGAAUGUUGCAUAUUGUAGUAGCCACCUAUCAUAUCAUUAGCCUUCCUAGCUUUCUCAUUUUACAAUGUUUCGUUAUCAAUUGCCUUUUAUCUAGCUUCCUUCUUCUCCUUCUUUUUGUUAUUUUCUUUCUUUUUCUUUUUUUGUUUUUUUGAGUGAGUAUCUCCUCACUAGAAAACCUCGAUACCUCUCACUAGGUGUUUUCUUACGGAGCAGACUUUGGGUUUUCAAUUCAUCAUUCUGCUUGAGACUGUUUGUGUUUGUGCCGUGAUUAUUUCCGAGAUUAUGGGUGUGUCGACGUUCAUCUAUGAUAAUUGACCAACUUUUUACGUUACCAGAUAGAGUUUUUAAGAUACUUGGAUCGUGUUUGUAAUUUAUAGCGGAAGUUACGUACUCAAGGUAUGUGUCGUUACGCAAAUACAAUUGUACGUUUCAUCGGUGGAGAAUAAUUUAAAUAUGUAAUAAUAUAGUGGUGUGUCGUAUCCAGCGAAUCUGAAAUAUGUCUGACUGUUAACGAUCUGUUUCUCCUGCGCUUGUAAUUCUCUGCGUUACAUUACAAGAAUAAUAACAGAGCGACGGAAUAUCGAAAUAUCGAAUGAUUUAACGUGUAAUACGGAAUAAAAACGAAAAAUAGUGAUAUGAAGUAAGAAUUUUCCAUGUGCUUGAUCACUAACGUUUUUCUUCACUUAUUUCCAGUUUUUUGCAUGAUAUCGAUAACGCAAGAAAAAAGUAUUACAUGUAAUAUGGAAAAGAACAUAAAAAUGAACAAAAACAUGUCUCGACAGUCAUCGAAAAAAAAAAAAAGAAAAUAAUUACAACAACGUAUUUUAUAUCUGACGAAUAACAAUCUUAUUUCUUCUUGUCCACUUGUAGCUUUUUUUACUUUUUUAUUAUAAAAUUCUUAUCUCGAAAGUGUCAUUGUUUUAAUUAUUAGGAAUGUGAAAUUUCUCAUCCAGCGAGCUUGAAAUGUGUUAUUUAAAUGGCCAUCGGUUUCAGAGAUAUUCGUAAAAAAUUUGUUUAGUUCUACGUAUUUUUUUGAAGUUCUGAUGUAGAUCGAAGUUAAGCUGAAGGUAUAAUUACGUUGUACGUCAAUCUGAGAACAAAAAAAAAAAAAAGAUAAUGAUGAAAGUUUA